UGACGUGCUUGCACUGAUUUCACAAUGAAGCGAGUGGCGAACUGGUGAGUAACACGUGGGAAAUCUGCCCAGAAGCAGGGGAUAACACUUGGAAACAGGUGCUAAUACCGUAUAACAACAAAAUCCGCAUGGAUUUUGUUUGAAAGGUGGCUUCGGCUAUCACUUCUGGAUGAUCCCGCGGCGUAUUAGUUAGUUGGUGAGGUAAAGGCCCACCAAGACGAUGAUACGUAGCCGACCUGAGAGGGUAAUCGGCCACAUUGGGACUGAGACACGGCCCAAACUCCUACGGGAGGCAGCAGUAGGGAAUCUUCCACAAUGGACGAAAGUCUGAUGGAGCAAUGCCGCGUGAGUGAAGAAGGGUUUCGGCUCGUAAAACUCUGUUGUUAAAGAAGAACACCUUUGAGAGUAACUGUUCAAGGGUUGACGGUAUUUAACCAGAAAGCCACGGCUAACUACGUGCCAGCAGCCGCGGUAAUACGUAGGUGGCAAGCGUUGUCCGGAUUUAUUGGGCGUAAAGCGAGCGCAGGCGGUUUUUUAAGUCUGAUGUGAAAGCCUUCGGCUUAACCGGAGAAGUGCAUCGGAAACUGGGAGACUUGAGUGCAGAAGAGGACAGUGGAACUCCAUGUGUAGCGGUGGAAUGCGUAGAUAUAUGGAAGAACACCAGUGGCGAAGGCGGCUGUCUAGUCUGUAACUGACGCUGAGGCUCGAAAGCAUGGGUAGCGAACAGGAUUAGAUACCCUGGUAGUCCAUGCCGUAAACGAUGAGUGCUAAGUGUUGGAGGGUUUCCGCCCUUCAGUGCUGCAGCUAACGCAUUAAGCACUCCGCCUGGGGAGUACRACCGCAAGGUUGAAACUCAAAGGAAUUGACGGGGNCCCGCACAAGCGGUGGAGCAUGUGGUUAAUUCGAAGCUACGCAAGAACCUUACCAAGUCUUGACAUCU
Molecule: ribosomal RNA, 940 nt
Filed under: Levilactobacillus brevis
Lineage: Bacteria; Bacillati; Bacillota; Bacilli; Lactobacillales; Lactobacillaceae
Description: bacterial SSU rRNA
Source: RNAcentral